GAUGAACGCUAGCUACAGGCUUAACACACGCAAGUCGAGGGGUAACAAGAGAAAAGCUUGCUUUUCUUGUUGACGACCGGCGCACGGGUGAGUAACGCGUAUCCAACCUGCCUAUAACUAGGGAAUAACCUUGCGAAAGUAAGACUAAUACCCUAUGAUUUCCUUUGAUGGCAUCAGAUUAGGAAUAAAGAUUUAUCGGUUAUAGAUGGGGAUGCGUCUGAUUAGCUUGUUGGCGGGGUAACGGCCCACCAAGGCAACGAUCAGUAGGGGUUCUGAGAGGAAGGUCCCCCACAUUGGAACUGAGACACGGUCCAAACUCCUACGGGAGGCAGCAGUGAGGGAUAUUGGUCAAUGGGCGGAAGCCUGAACCAGCCAAGUAGCGUGCAGGAUGACGGCCCUAUGGGUUGUAAACUGCUUUUAUACAGGAAUAAAGUUAGCCACGUGUGGUUAUUUGUAGGUACUGUAUGAAUAAGGACCGGCUAAUUCCGUGCCAGCCGCCGCAGUAA
Molecule: ribosomal RNA, 506 nt
Filed under: uncultured bacterium
Lineage: Bacteria
Description: partial 16S ribosomal RNA
Rfam family: Bacterial small subunit ribosomal RNA
Source: RNAcentral